UCGUCAUGUUGUUUAGUUCACUUUAACUUUCACUUUUGAUUCUGAUUCAGUCGGUAACGUUCCUGCUCCGCUCUCAGGACUUUUUGUUCCUCAAAAACUCACUGGACGAUAAAAUCAGACCGCAGGUCUAAAGAACAGGUAGACUGCCGUGAGGAAAUAAUUUAUUUAAAGCAGUUGAUUUAAUUCCGUUGCUGAACAGUUUCGUCUCAGUGUUUCAGGUCGGAUCAUGGCUGACAUGACGAAAAAGGGCGAGGAGGAGCUUCAGCUGGAAGAGGCAAAGAAAGAGCUGCAGACAUGGAAG
Labrus bergylta (ballan wrasse) is the source of this 301-nucleotide non-coding RNA. The record is from RefSeq and is a predicted model, not a curated record. NCBI's taxonomy places the organism in Eukaryota, Metazoa, Chordata, Actinopteri, Labriformes, Labridae.